RNAcentral lists this small nuclear RNA (118 nucleotides) under Guillardia theta. RNAcentral describes it as "U1". The record is from RNAcentral. Lineage: Eukaryota; Cryptophyceae; Pyrenomonadales; Geminigeraceae.
AUACUUACCUAGCAUUCAAAAAUAACUAAAGUUAUUUUUUCAAUAUAUUGUAUCUGCUUCACAUUGAUUUGAUAUUUUGGCUCUAAUUGUUAAGAAUGCUAAAUUUUUUUUACUGUGG